GGAGGAAUGGUUCAGAUGGCACAGCACUUGUCUAGCAAAUGUAAGGCCCUGAGUUCAAACCUCAGUACCACCA
RNAcentral lists this transfer RNA (73 nucleotides) under Dipodomys ordii (Ord's kangaroo rat). It matches the Rfam family "tRNA". Rfam says of the family: Transfer RNA (tRNA) molecules are approximately 80 nucleotides in length. The record is from Rfam by way of RNAcentral. Lineage: Eukaryota; Metazoa; Chordata; Mammalia; Rodentia; Heteromyidae.